This 75-nucleotide transfer RNA is filed under the name Phycisphaeraceae bacterium. RNAcentral describes it as "tRNA-Glu". It matches the Rfam family "tRNA". Rfam says of the family: Transfer RNA (tRNA) molecules are approximately 80 nucleotides in length. Their secondary structure includes four short double-helical elements and three loops (D, anti-codon, and T loops). The record is from RNAcentral. Lineage: Bacteria; Pseudomonadati; Planctomycetota; Phycisphaerae; Phycisphaerales; Phycisphaeraceae.
GACCCCGUCGUCUAGCCUGGUCUAGGACAUCAGGUUUUCAUCCUGAAAACACGGGUUCAAAUCCCGUCGGGGUCG